RNAcentral lists this long non-coding RNA (245 nucleotides) under Brassica rapa (field mustard). RNAcentral describes it as "long non-coding RNA (BRAP_LNC005919)". Lineage: Eukaryota; Viridiplantae; Streptophyta; Magnoliopsida; Brassicales; Brassicaceae. The record is from RNAcentral.
AACACUUAAUAAUCAAAUUAAGUUGUUCCAAAAAAUCUGAAACAGAAAUAAAAAACGUUAGCAUUCUUGAUAACUAAAACAAAUAAUUAUCUUUAGCCAAGUCAAAGCAUUAACAGAUUUUGAACAAAUAAAUUAUUUGAUCAUGUAAACUGACGAAUUUGAUCACAACUAAAUGCAAAACAAAUACACAAAGUAAAUGCAUUAAAAGCUUAAAAAAAAAAAACCACAAGAACAAACGCUCCACA